Molecule: transfer RNA, 76 nt
Filed under: Kroppenstedtia eburnea
Lineage: Bacteria; Bacillati; Bacillota; Bacilli; Caryophanales; Thermoactinomycetaceae
Also listed under: 7 other names
Description: tRNA-Val
Rfam family: tRNA
About the family: Transfer RNA (tRNA) molecules are approximately 80 nucleotides in length. Their secondary structure includes four short double-helical elements and three loops (D, anti-codon, and T loops).
Source: RNAcentral
GGACGGUUAGCUCAGCUGGGAGAGCACCUGCCUUACAAGCAGGGGGUCGCAGGUUCGAGCCCUGCACCGUCCACCA